UGUAAGCGUAUACCAAAGUUGUUGCAGUUAAAACGCUCGUAGUCGGAAUUUGGCAGUUCCGGAUGUGUGCACGUCGUGUGCGCGCUUUGCGGGGAUUGCUUUUGUGGUCUUGCGUAGGAUGAGGCACUUUUAUUAGUGAACGUCCUCACGCAACCACUUUUUACUGUGAGAAAAUCAGAGUGCUCAAAGCAGGCAUUUGCCGUGAAUGUAUUAGCAUGGAAUAAUAGAAUAGGACUUGGUUCUAUUUUGUUGGUUUGUUGGGACUGAGUAAUGAUUAAGAGGGACAGUUGGGGGCAUUUGUAUUUCGGUGCUAGAGGUGAAAUUCUUAGAUUACCGAAAGACAAACUGCUGCGAAAGCGUCUGCCAAGGAUGUUUUCAUUGA
Molecule: ribosomal RNA, 382 nt
Filed under: uncultured eukaryote
Lineage: Eukaryota
Description: partial 18S ribosomal RNA
Rfam family: Eukaryotic small subunit ribosomal RNA
Source: RNAcentral